CCUACGGGAGGCAGCAGUGGGGAAUUUUGGACAAUGGGCGAAAGCCUGAUCCAGCAAUGCCGCGUGAGUGAAGAAGGCCUUCGGGUUGUAAAGCUCUUUUGUCAGGGAAGAAACGGUGAAAGCUAAUAUCUUUUGCUAAUGACGGUACCUGAAGAAUAAGCACCGGCUAACUACGUGCCAGCAGCCGCGGUAAUACGUAGGGUGCAAGCGUUAAUCGGAAUUACUGGGCGUAAAGCGUGCGCAGGCGGUUUUGUAAGUCUGAUGUGAAAUCCCCGGGCUCAACCUGGGAAUUGCAUUGGAGACUGCAAGGCUAGAAUCUGGCAGAGGGGGGUAGAAUUCCACGUGUAGCAGUGAAAUGCGUAGAUAUGUGGAGGAACACCGAUGGCGAAGGCAGCCCCCUGGGGUCAAGAUUGACGCUCAUGCACGAAAGCGUGGGGAGCAAACAGGAUUAGAUACCCUGGUAGUCCACGCCCUAAACGAUGUCUACUAGUUGUCGGGUCUUAAUUGACUUGGUAACGCAGCUAACGCGUGAAGUAGACCGCCUGGGGAGUACGGUCGCAAGNUUAAAACUCAAAGGAUUGACGGCGNGAGAGAGACGACGACGACGACGAGGGAGGAGG
This 620-nucleotide ribosomal RNA is filed under the name uncultured bacterium. Its description in RNAcentral is "bacterial SSU rRNA". It matches the Rfam family "Bacterial small subunit ribosomal RNA", at positions 338 to 951 of the family's 1533-position model. The record is from RNAcentral.